RNAcentral lists this ribosomal RNA (640 nucleotides) under uncultured Streptomyces sp. RNAcentral's name for it is "bacterial SSU rRNA". It matches the Rfam family "Bacterial small subunit ribosomal RNA", at positions 235 to 885 of the family's 1533-position model. The record is from RNAcentral. Lineage: Bacteria; Bacillati; Actinomycetota; Actinomycetes; Kitasatosporales; Streptomycetaceae.
GGCCUAUCAGCUUGUUGGUGGGGUAAUGGCCUACCAAGGCGACGACGGGUAGCCGGCCUGAGAGGGCGACCGGCCACACUGGGACUGAGACACGGCCCAGACUCCUACGGGAGGCAGCAGUGGGGAAUAUUGCACAAUGGGCGAAAGCCUGAUGCAGCGACGCCGCGUGAGGGAUGACGGCCUUCGGGUUGUAAACCUCUUUCAGCAGGGAAGAAGCGCAAGUGACGGUACCUGCAGAAGAAGCGCCGGCUAACUACGUGCCAGCAGCCGCGGUAAUACGUAGGGCGCAAGCGUUGUCCGGAAUUAUUGGGCGUAAAGAGCUCGNAGGCGGCUUGUCACGUCGGAUGUGAAAGCCCGGGGCUUAACCCCGGGUCUGCAUUCGAUACGGGCUAGCUAGAGUGUGGUAGGGGAGAUCGGAAUUCCUGGUGUAGCGGUGAAAUGCGCAGAUAUCAGGAGGAACACCGGUGGCGAAGGCGGAUCUCUGGGCCAUUACUGACGCUGAGGAGCGAAAGCGUGGGGAGCGAACAGGAUUAGAUACCCUGGUAGUCCACGCCGUAAACGUUGGGAACUAGUUGUGGGGACCAUUCCACGGUUUCCGUGACGCAGCUAACGCAUUAAGUUCCCCGCCUGGGGAGUACGG